This 253-nucleotide ribosomal RNA is filed under the name uncultured bacterium. RNAcentral describes it as "partial 16S ribosomal RNA". It matches the Rfam family "Bacterial small subunit ribosomal RNA", at positions 524 to 776 of the family's 1533-position model. The record is from RNAcentral.
UACAGAGGUCUCAAGCGUUGUUCGGAUUCAUUGGGCGUAAAGGGUGCGUAGGCGGCGCGGUAAGUCGGGUGUGAAAUCUCGGAGCUUAACUCCGAAACUGCAUUCGAUACUGCCGUGCUUGAGGACUGGAGAGGAGACUGGAAUUUACGGUGUAGCGGUGAAAUGCGUAGAUAUCAGGAGGAACACCAGCAGCGAAGGCGGCGCUCUGGGCUGGAACUGACGCUGAGGAGCGAAAGCGUGGGUAGCAAACAGG